GGAAAUGUGCCCGAGACAAUAAGGGAUACUUUGAUAGAGUACAUCACAGAGACUAAAGCCUCUCAUUUCCU
RNAcentral lists this transfer RNA (71 nucleotides) under Liolaemus cf. poecilochromus. RNAcentral's name for it is "tRNA-Ile". The record is from RNAcentral. Lineage: Eukaryota; Metazoa; Chordata; Lepidosauria; Squamata.